GACGAACGCUGGCGGCGUGCCUAACACAUGCAAGUCGAGCGAUUCUCUUCGGGGAAGAGCGGCGGACGGGUGAGUAACGCGUGGGUAACCUGCCCUGUACACACGGAUAACAUACCGAAAGGUAUGCUAAUACGAGAUAAUAUGCUUUUAUCGCAUGGUAGAAGUAUCAAAGCUUUUGCGGUACAGGAUGGACCCGCGUCUGAUUAGCUAGUUGGUAAGGUAACGGCUUACCAAGGCGACGAUCAGUAGCCGACCUGAGAGGGUGAUCGGCCACAUUGGAACUGAGACACGGUCCAAACUCCUACGGGAGGCAGCAGUGGGGAAUAUUGCACAAUGGGCGAAAGCCUGAUGCAGCAACGCCGCGUGAGCGAUGAAGGCCUUCGGGUCGUAAAGCUCUGUCCUCAAGGAAGAUAAUGACGGUACUUGAGGAGGAAGCCCCGGCUAACUACGUGCCAGCCGCCGCCGUAA
This 468-nucleotide ribosomal RNA is filed under the name uncultured bacterium. RNAcentral's name for it is "partial 16S ribosomal RNA". It matches the Rfam family "Bacterial small subunit ribosomal RNA", at positions 28 to 523 of the family's 1533-position model. The record is from RNAcentral.